Molecule: long non-coding RNA, 697 nt
Filed under: Marmota monax (woodchuck)
Lineage: Eukaryota; Metazoa; Chordata; Mammalia; Rodentia; Sciuridae
Source: RNAcentral
CUGACUUUGAGAACUUUCCCUUAUUCUGGGGUUUACCCUUCCCUGAUUUUCCUUUCAGGACCCCAGAAGUGAGGCCAAGACGCCCCUGUCACAAGAGCCAGAAGAAAGGCUGUCACCAAGGAGUAUUUUGUAUCUGCUGAAAUGAAGGGGAUUAAGACCGAGUCCAAGGACUUCUAUAACAUCUUCCCCCUGCAGCUUCAAGAAGAAAUACAAGAGAUUCUCAGAUGAAAAUAAGUUAAUUUUGCUUUGGGGAAAAGCCAAGAACUCUUAGCCAACCCACUGUUUUACCUUAAGAACUUCCGUGGGUUACUGGAUCAGAAGGCAGUCAUUAUCAGACUGGAGUGUCACACUUUAAGAAACACAGACACGAAACACAAGGAUGUUUUCUGACAUCAGAUGAUGAAAGGAUGUUGAAGGCAAAAACCAGCUUUUCACCAGCCAGGAAGAGCUGAACUUGGAGUGCACAUUUAAAGACAAGACAAGCAAAAGACUUAAACAGAAGGAAGACAAGUACUUUCAUGGUUUUCAAGGACAAACAUUUCAGAAGUGAUAAUGGAGACCAAGGAGAAUAGGUAAAUGAGUUAAUAUUUUAGAUGACAGUUGUUUGCAUUGAGAUUUUAAGGCUUGUCAGGUUUUCCCAAAUGAAAUGUAGAUAGGCAAAAACAAAUGCCUGUUCUCUAGAGGUAAAAGUGAAUUA